CCUACGGGGCGCAGCAGUAGGGAAUCUUCCACAAUGGACGAAAGUCUGAUGGAGCAACGCCGCGUGAGUGAAGAAGGGUUUCGGCUCGUAAAGCUCUGUUGGUAGUGAAGAGAGAUAGAGGUAGUAACUGGCCUUUAUUUGACGGUAAUUACUUAGAAAGUCACGGCUAACUACGUGCCAGCAGCCGCGGUAAUACGUAGGUGGCAAGCGUUUUCCGGAUUUAUUGGGCGUAAAGCGAGUGCAGGCGGUUUAAUAAGUCUGAUGUGAAAACC
This 272-nucleotide ribosomal RNA is filed under the name uncultured bacterium. RNAcentral's name for it is "partial 16S ribosomal RNA". It matches the Rfam family "Bacterial small subunit ribosomal RNA", at positions 338 to 602 of the family's 1533-position model. The record is from RNAcentral.